Molecule: long non-coding RNA, 805 nt
Organism: Tachysurus fulvidraco (yellow catfish)
Lineage: Eukaryota; Metazoa; Chordata; Actinopteri; Siluriformes; Bagridae
Exons: 3
Source: RefSeq, a predicted model, not a curated record
UAUAGGCCGAUUAGAAAAAUAUUUACAGGACAGCAUCAGGAUUGAGCUUCAGAUCAAUGGUUUUGAUCACGAUAGCAAACGAACUACCUUUAUGUUUUUAUGAAAUACAGCAAAAACGUGUCAGACACUCAGUGUCUGGUUACUGGUUAGAGACAGCUGAAAGAAAAAAAAAUCUCCGACAGGCAGAGACGCAAUGCGAGUCGCAUUCUACCAAGCAAGCACCACGUCUGAAUGAACCCACGUUUACCAAAACUCUACUGGUUAGUAAGAUAUUCAGGAUGUCACUUGACUGGUGUGGAUCAACAUUGCUCUCUCAACUAUACAAGAAUGAUAUAUAUAUGUCCCAAGUACAGCUGAUCUCACAUCAGUGGACAGCAAAAUCGCGGCUAUAAUUGGGGAGGUCAGCGUGUGUGGGAUUGUGUCGGAAAAGGAGGGAGACACUGACGUGAAUGAAACCACAGAGGAGCAAGUUUAAACAGAUUUUUAAUCAUUAACGCUGUACAUUUGAGUGUGUGGGGUGAUAAAUGGAUAAAUGUUGCCAAUUGUUUUUCCUCCAGUCCUUCCGGAGUCUGAAGCUGUGGGUGAACAGGAGGGGUUCUCAGGUGUAGAUGCACAGUGUCCGGCUCAAAGCAGUGCCCCUUCUGCAUAUGGCACGUCCAAAAGUGGUCGAGUACUCACUGACGCAGUCCUGCAGUUACAGCAGAGACAAUAAACGCUGUCAACAGGGUUGCAGAUGAGCUACGGCAGAUGAGAGAAGUGAUGCAAGAAAUUGCACAAUCAUUAAAAGAUGCCGUUAAAACAUGAA